GACGAACGCUGGCGGCGUGCUUAACACAUGCAAGUCGAGCGGGAUCCAACCGGUGGCAACACCGGGGAAGAUCUAGCGGCGAACGGGUGAGUAACACGUGAGCAACCUGCCCCGAAGACUGGGAUAACACCGGGAAACCGGUGCUAAUACCGGAUGUCGUCAUUAGGCCGCAUGACCUGAUGAUGAAAGGAUUCAUCGCUUCGGGAGGGGCUCGCGGGCUAUCAGCUUGNGGUGGGGUAACGGCCUACCAAGGCGACGACGGCUAGCUGGUCUGAGAGGACGACCAGCCACACUGGGACUGAGACACGGCCCAGACUCCUACGGGAGGCAGCAGUGGGGAAUCUUGCGCAAUGGGCGAAAGCCUGACGCAGCAACGCCGCGUGGGGGAUGAAUGCCUUC
Molecule: ribosomal RNA, 399 nt
Filed under: uncultured bacterium
Lineage: Bacteria
Description: bacterial SSU rRNA
Rfam family: Bacterial small subunit ribosomal RNA
Source: RNAcentral